This 452-nucleotide ribosomal RNA is filed under the name uncultured organism. RNAcentral's name for it is "partial 16S ribosomal RNA". It matches the Rfam family "Bacterial small subunit ribosomal RNA", at positions 332 to 800 of the family's 1533-position model. The record is from RNAcentral.
UACACUCCUACGGGAGGCAGCAGUGGGGAAUAUUGGACAAUGGGCGCAAGCCUGAUCCAGCCAUGCCGCGUGAGUGAUGAAGGCCCUAGGGUUGUAAAGCUCUUUCACCGGUGAAGAUAAUGACGGUAACCGGAGAAGAAGCCCCGGCUAACUUCGUGCCAGCAGCCGCGGUAAUACGAAGGGGGCUAGCGUUGUUCGGAUUUACUGGGCGUAAAGCGCACGUAGGCGGACUAUUAAGUCAGGGGUGAAAUCCCGGGGCUCAACCCCGGAACUGCCUUUGAUACUGGUAGUCUUGAGGUCGAGAGAGGUGAGUGGAAUUCCGAGUGUAGAGGUGAAAUUCGUAGAUAUUCGGAGGAACACCAGUGGCGAAGGCGGCUCACUGGCUCGAUACUGACGCUGAGGUGCGAAAGCGUGGGGAGCAAACAGGAUUAGAAACCCCAGUAGUCCCAUGA